RNAcentral lists this ribosomal RNA (404 nucleotides) under uncultured bacterium. RNAcentral's name for it is "bacterial SSU rRNA". It matches the Rfam family "Bacterial small subunit ribosomal RNA", at positions 355 to 776 of the family's 1533-position model. The record is from RNAcentral.
UGGGGAAUAUUGCACAAUGGGGGGAACCCUGAUGCAGCGACGCCGCGUGAAGGAAGAAGUGUUUCGGCAUGUAAACUUCUAUCAGCAGGGAAGAAAGCGACGGUACCUGACUAAGAAGCCCCGGCUAACUACGUGCCAGCAGCCGCGGUAAUACGUAGGGGGCAAGCGUUAUCCGGAUUUACUGGGUGUAAAGGGAGCGUAGGCGGCCGUGCAAGUCAGAAGUGAAAGCCCGUGGCUCAACUGUGGGACUGCUUUUGAAACUGUGCGGCUAGAUUGCAGGAGGGGCAAGUGGAAUUCCUAGUGUAGCGGUGAAAUGCGUAGAUAUUAGGAGGAACACCAGUGGCGAAGGCGGCUUGCUGGACUGUAAAUGACGCUGAGGCUCGAAAGCGUGGGGAGCAAACAGG